ACUUUUUUCACCUAAACUUAAGGAAAAUUUGAAAUAAAAAUGUCUUGUUUGUGUUGCCACAUAUGAAAUACAUACAACAACCAUUGGAAAAGCUCUAAGCGUGUGUUCACGGAAUUGAAAAGCCAUGCCGACCAACGUCUAAGAAGCGUGUGUUGGUGUCAGCCAUUUAAAGCCAAAUUUAUUACAUGCAAUUCAAUACGCGUUUUUCAUGUUUCGUUCAUUCAUCAUUAAAAGCCGAGUCUCCUCCUCAUUAAAAAAGAGAAGAAGUAAAUUGUGAUAGAUUCUCUCGAUAAACAGAUGAUUGAUCUUAUUCCAUAAACAAGAAACAAGAAGAUUUAAUCUAAUCUAUAAUUUGGAGAGGAAAAACAAGCAAAGAUCAAAAGUUAAUCCAUUGAUUCCAUUCCAGAAGAUGACGUUUCUUGUUUUCGUUGAUGAUGAAGAUCGAUCGUUAGGAAUCUGGAGGUUAGAUUUUUAUUGAAUCAAUCAAUCUGCGUAUCAUAUAUUAGGUUGUGCUUGCGAUUCUGUGAAGCCACUGCUGCCGUAGGUGCUUCUUAAGCGCACGCAAUUUCAACAAAGUGGUUCCCCGGUGGUUGUUCAAUUGUUGAAUACGAUGAGGAGGGGGAAUAUAAAUAUUCGAAAGAAACGAUAUGAUCAGAGAGCUUAUAAGUAUCAAGACCAAGAGAGGGUACCAGAGUUUUUUGAAGACAUUUAUGAUCCCAUAUACGAUGAAUUUAUCAAUGAGUAUGAUUCGGAUGAUUGGGGAUCAGUAGAUUCAUUUGAAAAUUUCAAGAUCCGGUACAAAAUAUCUGCUGGUGAUCAAGGAGGAGUU
Molecule: long non-coding RNA, 829 nt
Organism: Papaver somniferum (opium poppy)
Lineage: Eukaryota; Viridiplantae; Streptophyta; Magnoliopsida; Ranunculales; Papaveraceae
Exons: 3
Source: RefSeq, a predicted model, not a curated record